UACGUAGGGGCCGAGCGUUGUCCGGAGUUAUUGGGCGUAAAGCGCGCGCAGGCGGCCUCGCGCGCCCGACGUGAAAGCCCCGGGCUCAACCUGGGAAUGGCAUUGGAAACUGGCGAGCUAGAGUGUGGCAGAGGGGGGUGGAAUUCCGCGUGUAGCAGUGAAAUGCGUAGAGAUGCGGAGGAACACCGAUGGCGAAGGCAGCCCCCUGGGCUAGCACUGACGCUCAGGCACGAAAGCGUGGGGAGCAAACAGG
RNAcentral lists this ribosomal RNA (253 nucleotides) under uncultured bacterium. RNAcentral's name for it is "partial 16S ribosomal RNA". It matches the Rfam family "Bacterial small subunit ribosomal RNA", at positions 524 to 776 of the family's 1533-position model. The record is from RNAcentral.